CCCCUCCAGGGGCCUCACCCGUCAGACCUAAACACUAGUCUCCGUGGUGACAAGGGGAGGAAAUGUAAAACUGAAACGGACUUAAAUGUUGUGACACAGAAGCUCGUUUCAAACAACA
Molecule: small nucleolar RNA, 118 nt
Filed under: Echinops telfairi (small Madagascar hedgehog)
Lineage: Eukaryota; Metazoa; Chordata; Mammalia; Afrosoricida; Tenrecidae
Description: Small nucleolar RNA SNORA61 (ENSETEG00000025349.1)
Source: RNAcentral